CGAGGAGGAAGUGCUUUUACCCGUUUUGCCGAAUGCGGAAGUAGGUUACGCAUAUGGCGGAUUUGCUGACCCCCCCCUCCAACUUGUCAAUUUUUUGGUCAACUAGUUGAGUUAGUGAAAUUGUGGCUAAUUAAGAUAUAAUAAUUCUUGUCUACAAGCACAAUGGAGGAGUUCACUUUUUGACCUAAAACUACCAGAUGACGUCCCCUGAUUGUGCAGACCACUGGAUCUCCUCACACAGGCCCCGCUCGUUUGUUUGGCGGGUGUUGUGUUCUGGUCUCCGCGGGCCUCGAGGGGCCCGGGUGAUGCCGCGUCACAUUCACGCCGGGUGAAAGGGGGCUACGCAGCCUAUCGUUUGGUUUGGGGCCAUUCAUGGAAGAACAUUACAGUAUCCCUCGGGCCCGCUAUCACGUUACGCCGGAGCCAACGCCGUUGCAAAGGAGGCUGUCCAAAAUGCUUAAUGAAUCUCCAAGUGAACUGUGAAACAGUCGCUCCACCUGCCACUCACUGUCAACACCUCGCCAUCGUUCAACGUCGCCUUUCUGGCUUGCAUACCUGAACGUGAUAGGCCAGCCUUGGCCCCCCGUUCGCCUGCUCCAAAGACCCAUUCAAAGACUCUGAU
Molecule: long non-coding RNA, 622 nt
Organism: Phyllopteryx taeniolatus (common seadragon)
Lineage: Eukaryota; Metazoa; Chordata; Actinopteri; Syngnathiformes; Syngnathidae
Exons: 3
Source: RefSeq, a predicted model, not a curated record